GGACGGGUGGCCGAGUGGUUUAAGGCAGCGGUCUUGAAAACCGCCAGAGGCGCGAGUCUCUCGUGGGUUCGAAUCCCACCCCGUCCGCCA
This 90-nucleotide transfer RNA is filed under the name Rhodovulum sp. Its description in RNAcentral is "tRNA-Ser". It matches the Rfam family "tRNA". From Rfam's summary of the family: Transfer RNA (tRNA) molecules are approximately 80 nucleotides in length. Their secondary structure includes four short double-helical elements and three loops (D, anti-codon, and T loops). Further hydrogen bonds mediate the characteristic L-shaped molecular structure. tRNAs have two regions of fundamental functional importance: the anti-codon, which is responsible for specific mRNA codon recognition, and the 3' end, to which the tRNAs corresponding amino acid is attached (by aminoacyl-tRNA synthetases). tRNAs cope with the degeneracy of the genetic code in two manners: having more than one tRNA (with a specific anti-codon) for a particular amino acid; and 'wobble' base-pairing, i.e. permitting non-standard base-pairing at the 3rd anti-codon position. RNAcentral also lists the same sequence under 2 other names. Lineage: Bacteria; Pseudomonadati; Pseudomonadota; Alphaproteobacteria; Rhodobacterales; Paracoccaceae. The record is from RNAcentral.